This 160-nucleotide non-coding RNA is filed under the name Hirschia sp. RNAcentral's name for it is "6S RNA". It matches the Rfam family "6S / SsrS RNA". From Rfam's summary of the family: E. coli 6S RNA was the first non coding RNA to be sequenced, but its function was unknown until recently. It consists of 184 nucleotides that fold into an extended hairpin structure with a large single-stranded internal bulge. Lineage: Bacteria; Pseudomonadati; Pseudomonadota; Alphaproteobacteria; Hyphomonadales; Hyphomonadaceae. The record is from RNAcentral.
GGAUUGCUGCGGCGUGCGUAGGGAACUUUUACUCCAGCGACCUUACAUUUUCAUCAGGGAGCUGGCUCUGGCCGGGACCGUGGUCCUGAUCACCUGGCGCCCACCUAGCUUGCUGGGUCGAUGGGAAUAAACAUGUCCCUACGGCGUUUGCGGCGCCGCC